Molecule: non-coding RNA, 683 nt
Organism: Prunus avium (sweet cherry)
Lineage: Eukaryota; Viridiplantae; Streptophyta; Magnoliopsida; Rosales; Rosaceae
Source: RefSeq, a predicted model, not a curated record
ACCUUAUCAGGACCGUCGUGUUUUCAGGAGGCGCUAACAACAGUUCACUUUAAGUUCUCGAGAGCGGAGCUUUUCAGAAAACACUCGCUCUCUCAGACACUAUGCUAUCUCAAAUUCUCUCACGAAACUUUCACAAAACCCUCGCUCUCUCAACUCUCUCUCACAUCGAUGAAGCACAUCUCCCUCUCACCAUCCACCGAGUUUGCAGAGAUCGCCAUCUCCAUCGCGUCAUUCAGUCCACCGAGCUCACCGCGUUCAGUCCACCGAACUCGCCUCGUUCGCCAAAAUUUAUUCUCUCCCUCUGAAAACGAACCAAGCUCAAGCACUAAUUUGAAGGGAAAAACCCCAAAUCUGGUUAUGAUUGGCUCGCGAACACUUUGCAAUGGGUAUGUUUUAUUAUGUUUGGUUUAUUAUCGAAGAAACUGUGUAUGUUUUAUUUUGUUUGAUUUAGGUUCUUCCAUUAAAGAUGCUGGUGAGUUGAUUUAGGAAUUAGGGCUUUGGGUAUAAAAAGCUGGUAAGAAAUCCACACCAUCGACUAUUUUAGGGAUUUGAUAUAGAAUGUUAAUUUUGGUCUGAUUUAAUGUAAUUUGAUGGAAUUUGGACUUUAACUUGCUGAAUUCUACUUGGGUUUGUUUUGGUUUUUGCUGAUGUUGGUUGAAUUGUCUUGGAGCUUUUAGCUAUUA